ACUCCACGAGAAGAGAAGAGCUAGGAGAGACCAGCGGGCGGUAGCUGCGGCGAGUGGCCUCUCCGUGCGGCACAGAGGCAAGAAGCAGCCAUCCAUCCAGAAGCAGCCUCCGUGUUCCGUUUGUCCGGAUGUCAUCGUAGGUGGCCGGCAUCUCUGGCUUUGGGCUUCUCCCCUGGGGGCGGGUGGGUGCUCCACCCUCCCGCCCACUCUCUGAGGACAUGAGGAACAUGGUAUCCAGCACCACGGACAGCUCCCAGCGAUCCCAGAGGACUCAAGGCUAUGGGUGAUGUCGAAGGUGCGGAAGAAUCAAGUUGGAAAGACCAGCAGGAGACAGACAGAGUAAGGUUCCUUGAAUGCUUGGUUUAUGUGCCUGGCUGGAGGAGACACCCAUGGCCUUGCAGAGGGAGCGUUCUGGUGGGAAAGCAGACACAACCCACCCUAGGCCCGUGGUUUCCCUGCAAGAAGCCCAGUGGCUUUCUGGAGGACACUUUUCCUGGAGGAAGUGACUCAAGCAGUGGGCAGAGACCACCUCCCUCAUUGCCGCUUUGGGUUUGGACCGCUUUAAACAGUAAAGUGACUGUCGACGGCUCAGUCUACAGGGAGGAGAACAAAAGACAGGGUCAGGGCUGGGCAGACUGGACAGGAGCAGCAUAAGCCAGGCUCUAUGGAAUGUUGGGUGAGCUGCUUGAGGAACUCCAAGGCCUGUCCCACAGUCUUCCAGCCUCCGACUCUCCGGCCCUCAGCGAGGAAGUCCCACUGGUUUUUUUGGUUGGUUUUUUUUUUUUUUUUUAAGGUUUUUUGGUUUUUUUUUUUUUUUCUCAUUCCUGUCUUGGGAGCUUUCCCCAACCAGGAGAGUGAAGAUGGGCGGAGCUGUCACACCAACUGUUAGCCUGCCUUGGCUGAGAGGAGAGGAGGCGAGGAGGGAGCGACCACCCAGCUUUAGUCGUUUUAAAACAGCUCCUGACCCUAGAAGAAGGGAAAUGGAGAUGAAGACCCAAUUGACUUGAGAGAGUGAUCUUUCAGCAGACUGAUCGAACACACAGGCUUCUCAGCCCACUCCCUCCAGUCAAGGUUAAGGCCUGGCAAAGGUGGAGGAAGAGAAGCUGAGGAGAAAAAGGCGAGGAGAGCCUAGGCACAGGAAGGUGACCGCUUCCCUCCCUCCCAGUGCUGAUUUCCUGUGGACCAGAUUCCAGCACAGUGGAGGGCCAGAGCUCAGGGAACAGACCCAGCAGCACAGCAAGUCUCCAAGGAAAGCUCUAGCAGUCUCCAGGGGCUGAAGGCAGGACUGGGGAAGCGGCUAGCCAGGCUGCAGAAGGCAAAUGCUCCCAGACGGCUGUCCAGCACGCAUCCGCCUUCCUAGCCAAGUUUCCUGGGCUCCUGCCACAGAUCUAAGCCUCAUCCUGACAUCCUGCCCUCUGUGCUCUGGGAUGGCCCAGGGGAGAUGCUUAGCCUUGGCUCCUUGUCUGCUGGUGGAGGGGACACACACCCUUUCUGGACCACAGACCAAAAAGAAGACCUGACGUCAUCCUGAGCACCCCCGCCAUGCAGAGUGUGUUCGCAGACUGCCAACGGGCUGGCUCCGGCCAGCAGAAGUGAACAGAGGUGGAGGUUCAGCCUGACAGCUUCUCCCCAAAGCCAUGGAGAGAAAACCUUACCACCCCCACCGCCCAGCUACUUCCAGCAAGUUGUCCAGCCUGACCCCUCUAUUUCCCCUGUUGUCUCUUAUCUGGGUCCCUGAGACCCACCCCAUCUCCAAUAAAGAACAUUGCAUACUGUG
Molecule: long non-coding RNA, 1777 nt
Filed under: Mus musculus (house mouse)
Lineage: Eukaryota; Metazoa; Chordata; Mammalia; Rodentia; Muridae
Description: predicted gene 3764
Source: RNAcentral